UAUGAACAGAGAAUAGAACGUCAGAAAAAUCGGUAUAAAGCGCUCUCAAGAGAAGUAAGGAAAUUGGAAGAUGAAAGGGAGGAGUCACAGUUCAGAGCGGAGAAGACUCAAGAUUUGAAAUCCGUGUCGGCUCACCAAGAAGCGGAAUGGAAAAGGGGUAUCCAAAGCCUUAGAUCUUCUUUGAAACAAGAAGAAGAAAAGAGGCUCAGAGUAGAAGUGCUGUGUGAGAAAAGGAGAGAAGACCUCCGAAGGAAAGAAGAUCAAUGUUGUAAAGAGAUGGAGGAGAAACAGAAACUUGAGUUACAGUCUAGGAAUUUAGAAAUGGAGUUAAGAACACUGAGAAAGCUCUUGAAACAGGUUGAAGAGGAACGUGAUGAAACACAGAGACAGCGCUCUCAGGAAAAGAGGGCCAGAGCCCUUCAAGAAGGAAUUUUGAACAACCACCUUGGGAGACAAAAGGAACUAGAAGAAGAGACAAGAAGAUCUAUAGGAAAAAAAUCAGAGGAAUCCCGCACUGAUAGAGAACAGGAUCUGUUGUACAAGAAUCAGUUACUACAAGAUGAGAUUGCUAUGCUAAGG
Molecule: long non-coding RNA, 579 nt
Organism: Falco peregrinus (peregrine falcon)
Lineage: Eukaryota; Metazoa; Chordata; Aves; Falconiformes; Falconidae
Exons: 4
Source: RefSeq, a predicted model, not a curated record